This is a long non-coding RNA of Hibiscus syriacus, 608 nucleotides long. RefSeq lists it as uncharacterized. The transcript has 2 exons. NCBI's taxonomy places the organism in Eukaryota, Viridiplantae, Streptophyta, Magnoliopsida, Malvales, Malvaceae. The record is from RefSeq and is a predicted model, not a curated record.
UGGGGCAAAUUCCCGUUUUACCACGAAAAAUAGGCUUUGCUUUCUACUUUGCUGACCGCCGUCACUCCCUCUUUGCUCCGCCGCCGUCUUUCUGGUUCUCAGGCGCUGCUAUUGUAUACUUUCACUCAUUUGCAGCUGAUUCCACCGCCAGUUUUAUUAAAGAUGAAGAAAGGAUUGCACCCUCAGAUGCAAUGGAUAUCUUAUGUGACCCCAAGUGGUCGUUUGAUUAACUUCAUGAUGAAAAAAAUACACAGUGUGGGUAAAGUUUAUCACUUGAGGGCUAAACGUCAAUUAGCUGCAACCGAAGGACAGAUUGCUAAGCUCAAUCGUCGCUACGGGCUGGAGAAGCCGGAUGACACUGACCACUCAGAAAAAUGAAAAAUGAAUUAUGGUUGUUGCUAAUGCAAUGUUGGGUAUUUGCAGUUCAAUUUAAGCACCUAUGUUGUUGAAUAACAUGAGUGUCGAUAGUUAAUCGAAUGUCAUUUGAUCUUCUUGAUAAGAUAGUGUUUCAAUUGUGGUUUGGCGAUCUUUCAUUCAGUGUGUUGCUGCUUUAAUAUAGCUUAUAAGAGUUCUUCACUUCUCGGAGUUUCAUUCCUUCUUUCCCAUGA